AUACGGAGGGUGCAAGCGUUGUCCGGAAUCACUGGGCGUAAAGCGCACGUAGGCGGUCUUGUAAGUCAUCUGUGAAAUCCCGGAGCUCAACUCCGGGCCUGCAGUUGAUACUGCAUGACUAGAGCUCGGUAGAGGCGAGUGGAAUUCCCGGUGUAGCGGUGGAAUGCGUAGAUAUCGGGAGGAACACCAGUGGCGAAGGCGGCUCGCUGGGCCGUUGCUGACGCUGAGGUGCGAAAGCGUGGGGAGCAAACAGGAUUAGAAACCCCUGUAGUCC
RNAcentral lists this ribosomal RNA (274 nucleotides) under uncultured bacterium. RNAcentral describes it as "partial 16S ribosomal RNA". It matches the Rfam family "Bacterial small subunit ribosomal RNA", at positions 523 to 796 of the family's 1533-position model. The record is from RNAcentral.